Molecule: unclassified non-coding RNA, 218 nt
Filed under: Hevea brasiliensis (rubber tree)
Lineage: Eukaryota; Viridiplantae; Streptophyta; Magnoliopsida; Malpighiales; Euphorbiaceae
Source: RNAcentral
ACUUUUUCAUGGUAUACAGAGGUAUCAGGAUAUAAAUUUUGGUAGAUUCAAGCCAAGCAUCCAACUUAUGAUAAAGGUUAUGUAUUGCUAAUUAUCAACUAGCAUUUGCUUGCGACUUGCUUUUGAGAAUUAUAUUAUCAUUUCAAUCAUUAAUGCUUCAGUUAUAAACCUCUACAAUACAAUUUCCAACAUUGUCAAAAGUUAAUAUUUCUUGUUGA